This is a long non-coding RNA of Dermacentor albipictus, 832 nucleotides long. RefSeq lists it as uncharacterized. The record is from RefSeq and is a predicted model, not a curated record. NCBI's taxonomy places the organism in Eukaryota, Metazoa, Arthropoda, Arachnida, Ixodida, Ixodidae.
GAUCCGCAUGGCACGGCUCAUACAAGCGCUAUUUCGGCCGCCGCGCUCAGCAAAGAGGGAAUCUGACCAUAUUACUAAGCGAUGCCCGCCGUCUCGGCGGAACGUUAGUAGAGCAGCCGGCAACGCUUGGAGCCUGCUUGCUCCCGAUUCAGACGACGUUCAAUGGUGGCGCUCCGGUGGCGAGCCCUGGUGAAUUGCGUGCGAACUGCUCGCUGUAAAAGGGCACUGCUCACAAGCUACACCGAAAUGUCAACAGCAAUCCGUGUGAACGGCCACUGUGAGACAUCUAGGGAAUGAUGUCACGGAGAUGGAGGCAAUGUUUUAUGUUUACCGAGAGAACCAUAUUGAGCGCAAUCGUAUGCAGAAAGACGUGUACGAUGCGAAGGACUUAAGCUUGACUAUUAUUCAGCAGUUUCAGUUUUGCGUCUGAUACCUAAUGAAAACAGAUGCACGCACCAGUAACGCAUGCUGCGAUUCGACAGAACAACAGCUGCCACGGUCACCAAAGUCUAGUAGGGUACGCAGAUGAAGCUUCUCUUUAAAAUGAACCCAGCUAAUUUUCUCUUUCAAAUACAGCGAAGAUGAAUUAUGCAGCGAAAGUGCAACAUAAUUCACUAGAUCAAGUGAUCAUCGCUUCAUCAUCUUCACACGACCUGUCGGUUUUGGAUGCUGUAUUGUACUGAAGUUCAUUGCCUUAUGAAUACAACCUCGUAGCGUAAUUUUUUUUCGUGGUGCCUUUCAUGGUAACGAAGUAACAAGUGCCGUGUGGAAAAUGCGCUAGACAAAGAAAAUAAACGGGCCAGUAUUUUGGUUGCCCAUUUUCCGUUUUGAA